RNAcentral lists this ribosomal RNA (249 nucleotides) under uncultured Lactobacillus sp. RNAcentral describes it as "partial 16S ribosomal RNA". It matches the Rfam family "Bacterial small subunit ribosomal RNA", at positions 114 to 354 of the family's 1533-position model. Lineage: Bacteria; Bacillati; Bacillota; Bacilli; Lactobacillales; Lactobacillaceae. The record is from RNAcentral.
CACGUGGGGAACCUGCCCCAUAGUCUGGGAUACCACUUGGAAACAGGUGCUAAUACCGGAUAAGAAAGCAGAUCGCAUGAUCAGCUUUUAAAAGGCGGCGUAAGCUGUCGCUAUGGGAUGGCCCCGCGGUGCAUUAGCUAGUUGGUAAGGUAAAGGCUUACCAAGGCGAUGAUGCAUAGCCGAGUUGAGAGACUGAUCGGCCACAUUGGGACUGAGACACGGCCCAAACUCCUACGGGAGGCAGCAGGG